Molecule: long non-coding RNA, 699 nt
Organism: Magallana angulata
Lineage: Eukaryota; Metazoa; Mollusca; Bivalvia; Ostreida; Ostreidae
Exons: 2
Source: RefSeq, a predicted model, not a curated record
AAUGACAGACCGGAGAGCUACAGGGCCACCCAUUGAAAAAAUUGUACAUGUAUAUUUAUUGCGCAGAAAAACGUGCGCUAGUUUUGGACUGAUUUACCUUAUUUAUACGCAAAUUCUGUGAAAACAAUUAGUACCAUUAAAUUCUUCAUGCAAUUUACUACUGAUAUCGCCUCUUUAUUUGCCUCAGACUUUCUCCGAAACACGCUACCGACCUCGGAAAAUCAAGUAUGUUGAAUUUACAUCGAGAUCGACAGUCGCCAUUUUUACAUGUAAACAAAGUGGACCACAUGAAUUUACGGGACUGGUGAUGGUGUUUAAAAGACUAUCCGAGGCAAGUGAAGAAAGGAUAUCAGUAGUAAAUUGCAUGAAGAAUUUAAAAUUAAAAGCGGUGGGAGUCCUAAGCUUAAAGCAGACUCUUGUUACCACAUGGCUUUUACCUGUUGAUUCUUGUGGUUUCAGCUCUUGAGGUUAACCUGUCACCUCUACCCACAUGCAUAUUCCUUGUGUUCUACAGACUAUCUACCGGUAAUUCAAAUUAAAUCGGAUAAUGCAUGAACAAUAAUGGAACUUUAAGAAAGCAUCAUGUCCUAUUGUGGUUUGUUCAUGUUUGAUAAGAAAUUAUGAAAAACAAAAUUAAGGCUGUUUAAAGAAAUAUAAUUGUUGUGAAAAUUUGUUUUUCAAUAAAAGUAUGCAAUUAUG